RNAcentral lists this ribosomal RNA (636 nucleotides) under Bacillus cereus. Its description in RNAcentral is "bacterial SSU rRNA". It matches the Rfam family "Bacterial small subunit ribosomal RNA", at positions 822 to 1459 of the family's 1533-position model. Lineage: Bacteria; Bacillati; Bacillota; Bacilli; Caryophanales; Bacillaceae. The record is from RNAcentral.
GUUAGAGGGUUUCCGCCCUUUAGUGGUGGAAGUUAACGCAUUAAGCACUCCGCCUGGGGAGUACGGCCGCAAGGCUGAAACUCAAAGGAAUUGACGGGGGCCCGCACAAGCGGUGGAGCAUGUGGUUUAAUUCGAAGCAACGCGAAGAACCUUACCAGGUCUUGACAUCCUCUGCCAACCCUAGAGAUAGGGCUUCUCCUUCGGGAGCAGAGUGACAGGUGGUGCAUGGUUGUCGUCAGCUCGUGUCGUGAGAUGUUGGGUUAAGUCCCGCACCGAGCGCAACCCUUGAUCUUAGUUGCCAUCAUUAAGUUGGGCACUCUAAGGUGACUGCCGGUGACAAACCGGAGGAAGGUGGGGAUGACGUCAAAUCAUCAUGCCCCUUAUGACCUGGGCUACACACGUGCUACAAUGGACGGUACAAAGAGCUGCAAGACCGCGAGGUGGAGCUAAUYUCAUAAAMCCGUUCUCAGUUCGGAUUGUAGGCUGCAACUCGCCUACAUGAAGCUGGAAUCGUUAGUAAUCGCGGAUCACCAUGCCGCGGUGAAUACGUUCCCGGGCCUUGUACACACCGCCCGUCGCACCACGAGAGUUUGUAACACCCGAAGUCGGUGGGGUAACCUUUUGGAGCCAGCCCCA